RNAcentral lists this ribosomal RNA (160 nucleotides) under Phytophthora drechsleri var. cajani. Its description in RNAcentral is "5.8S ribosomal RNA". It matches the Rfam family "5.8S ribosomal RNA". From Rfam's summary of the family: 5.8S ribosomal RNA (5.8S rRNA) is a component of the large subunit of the eukaryotic ribosome. It is transcribed by RNA polymerase I as part of the 45S precursor that also contains 18S and 28S rRNA. The record is from RNAcentral. Lineage: Eukaryota; Oomycota; Peronosporomycetes; Peronosporales; Peronosporaceae.
CAACUUUCCACAAUGGAAGUCUAGGCUCGCACAUCCAUGAAAAACGCUGCGAACUGCGAUACGUAAUGGCAAUUGCAGGAUUCCAUGAAUCAUCCAAAUUUUGAACGCCAAUUGGACUUCCGGGUUAAUCCCGGGAGUAUGCCUGGAUCCAUGGCCGUAC